This 393-nucleotide ribosomal RNA is filed under the name uncultured bacterium. RNAcentral describes it as "partial 16S ribosomal RNA". It matches the Rfam family "Bacterial small subunit ribosomal RNA", at positions 523 to 918 of the family's 1533-position model. The record is from RNAcentral.
AUACGGAGGAUCCGAGCGUUAUCCGGAUUUAUUGGGUUUAAAGGGUGCGCAGGCGGGAGAUUAAGUCGGCGGUGAAAUUUUGCAGCUCAACUGUAAAAGUGCCUUCGAAACUGGUUUCCUUGAGUGUAGAUGAAGGAGGCGGAAUUUGUGGUGUAGCGGGGAAAUGCAUAGAUAUCACGAGGAACUCCGAUUGCGCAGGCAGCUUACUAAACUACUACUGACGCUCAGGCACGAAGGCGUGGGGAUCAAACAGGAUUAGAUACCCUGGUAGUCCACGCAGUAAACGAUGAUUACUAGCUGUUUGCGAUACAAUGUAAGCGGCUGAGCGAAAGCGUUAAGUAAUCCACCUGGGGAGUACGUUCGCAAGAAUGAAACUCAAAGGAAUUGACGGGG